UCAAGACACAACAAUCAAGCUUUGCAAGAACAUACUGUAAAAUGAAAUAAAAACCUAAAUAAACUGUUGGUAAAUAAAAAGAGGGCUCCUUUGUGCACAUGCGCAGAUCGGACUGAACCGCAUCUUUAAAAUAAACCUAUACAUAAUACAUUAAAAUUGCUAUUCCUAUAUAACAUGAUAAAAUUAUCAAACAUAACUAAAACUUUCAUCUUUGUUGUUCAUAAUUUAUUUCUUAUUUUUAUUUCUCAAGGAUAUAUACAAAAGGUUAAAGUGGAAGUCAAGUCCGUUCUGCGCAUCGGUUCUGCUCAUAACAAUGUGAGGACCCUCUCAUGUAAACAUUGCCCAAAUUUCGAAUGUUUCGAAUUUUUC
Non-coding RNA from Paramuricea clavata, 369 nucleotides. NCBI's taxonomy places the organism in Eukaryota, Metazoa, Cnidaria, Anthozoa, Malacalcyonacea, Plexauridae. The record is from the annotation of a GenBank genome assembly.